This 2409-nucleotide long non-coding RNA is filed under the name Homo sapiens (human). RNAcentral's name for it is "non-protein coding lnc-ZNF200-1:2". The stretch from base 749 to 820 matches the Rfam family "tRNA". Lineage: Eukaryota; Metazoa; Chordata; Mammalia; Primates; Hominidae. The record is from RNAcentral.
CCGGAACCGACACCUGGACGCGGCCUCUGCUGCCCCAAGCGGCCUCUGCUUCCCCACGUCCUGGUGACCGGAGGUUCCGCCAGUUCCCCCAGUGAAAGGGAAGGGGGUACAUCGCUGACUCCGGCGGGCGCCGCGGGUCUGGUGGAGCGAAGCGACGCUCAGUGUCAGCCUCUUGAAUUGAGGUUCCACGUGGGAAGCUCACCUUCUGGGUUUUGGCUUCCCUGGGGGAGAAGAGAGGACCGGAGCGGGAGAAGCGUGGGGCGCGUCGAGGUAGGGGGCCUGGUGGCUGGUUCCUGGUGCACUGGCGAGGCCUCUACUGACCACCCAUCUGCACCACGCCGCCGGGCUGCAGCGUUUCCAAGGCGGGCGUCCAGUGGUCGCGGUUCGCGGACCCUCCGCGCAGCCGCUGCCAGCUCUUGAGAGGUUCCCAUGUCCCGCCGGAGCUGGAGCUCCUCACUACGCGACGCGGCGUGACGCGCGGAUCCCCAGCCCAGGGCUGAGAGGCGGAGGCGGGCGAGGGCCCGGGGGGCCCCGGAUUGUGGGGGCACAGGGGAUGCUCCCCAUUUUGUGCGGCGCAGGGAGAAGCGGGGGCUCAGGGCUCCCUCCGCGUCCACCCGCGCUUGAACUUGUCUCUUCCAGACUUCAGGAAAUCGGAGUCUCCUCCUAGCUCUGCUCUGCUGGGUCCCCACCUCUGGCCACGAGGACUCCACGAAGGCCACAAAGACAAGCCGGAGGCUACGGGGCGUGUGGCUCGUUGGUCUAGGGGUAUGAUUCUCGCUUAGGGUGCGAGAGGUCCCGGGUUCAAAUCCCGGACGAGCCCGGUUUUUGGUCCAAAAUAUCGGUUUCUACCCUUUCCUACUUUAGAUGAAGAUCAGAGAUCCAGACAGCUCUGACAGGUCAGCGCAGCCCGAGUCCUUCGAAGUUAGUUUGUUUGUUUGUUUUGAGACAGAGUCUCUGUCGCCCCGGCUGGAGUGCAGUGGUGCUAUCUCACCUCACUGCAACCUCCGCCUCCUGGGUUCAAGCAAUUCUCCUGCCUCAGUCUCCCAGGUAGCUGGGACUACAGGCACGUGCCACCAUGUCUGGCUAAUUUUUGUACUUUUUUUUUAGUAGAGACAGGGUUUCGCCAUGUUGGCCAGGCUGGUCUCCAACUCCUUACUUCAGGUGAUCAGCCCGCCUCGGCCUCCCAAAGUGCUAGGAUUACAGGCGUCAGCCACCGCGCUCAGACUUCGAAGUUAAUUUGUACAAAGAUCUAAAGCUGUCUGACACCACCCACUGCCACAUUUAAAAUUUAUUUGGAGUUUUCUCACCACUGUCGUCAGAGCCCUAUUCCCUAAUAUUUUUGUUUGAUAUUUUGCUAUUUUUGUUUUCUGCUUUUAUUAUUAUUUUUAUUUAUGAGCUACUUUUGUCAGUAGGAAUUCAUUCGAGGCACUGAAGAAGAGAUAAGUCCUUCCUAUAUACAGUAAGAGCCGAGUCUUCACUGUCAGACACCUUAAAAGCUCUACACUGGGAUUCCCACCCAGUGUCCCUGGCUCCGGCGGCUAGAGCCUUAAGGAGAGAAAGCCGGGCACUUGAGCAGAGGAGAUGGGCUAUGGGCGUUUGUAUCUGGGGUCUAGAGUCCUCUCCCUCCCCACAUCCCGACACUCCUCACCUGCGUGUAGCCUUCUGGGGCUCCUCUCCUCCCCUAUCCUAGUUCUGGAAGGGGUACAGACUGAACCCAGGAACCCGGGUAUCUGCGUCCUGAGUCCCAGCGCCCACCAGGACUGGGGCCUCCUCACAUCUACUCUGAGGACAGAAUCUAUUGGCAGAGUCUUCCUUUUUGUUUGGGAUGCUGGGUUUGAGAACAUGCCGGGAACCAAGAGUCGUGACUAAUCCAAUUUUGAGCGCUUGAGGACCAAGUGGAAAGAAACUCAAGCAGAUUUAAAGUGACCAAUGUCUGGUUAUGCCCUUGAGCCCCUGCAGAAGCAAACAAUAAUUUUGUGUGUGUGUGGACAAAUACAUUUGUAUUCCAGAUCUCACAGAAUUUCCUACACAAAGAAAUUUGCAAGGAAAAUGGACAUUGCACCCUAAAAAUUAACAAGGAAAGAAGGUACCAGGAGCAACAACUCAUUAACAGGAACAGAAACAAUAUUGCAAAUAUUUCAGAUGCAAAGUGUAUCCGACUUAUAAUACAACUGUCCCUACUGUGUCUAAAGAAAUGAAAGGCAAUAAAGAAAAUAUCUUUGACAUCAGGACCUCCAACCUUCUUGAUUGAAAAAAGAACCAAAUAGUUCUAGAUAUAGAAGCACACGGUAAUGGAAAGGGAACAACUAGAUGCACGCCACAGUAGGUUACAGUGCGGAGCAGCACCUGCGAGGGCUUCUGUGAGUCCCAGUGAGCUUUGGGCUUUCUGUCUGCAGCUGCAAGGAUGGC